ACACAGGAUUAGAGACAGCUGCGUUAGGCAAUGAGGAGCCACUGGGAGUGUCUGAGGGGUGAUGUAAGCUGAGGUGCACUCUGAGAAGAUUACUCUUAUCACUUUGGUUUAGAUGGAAUUAGUGAAAUGAAAAUGGGAGUGUCAGGGACAAUGGAGAAGAUACCAACGCAUUUACAGAGCCGGCUUUGAUCAGGAGAAUAUGGAGGAGGGGAACGUGGUAGCCAUGGAAGCGCGCUCAGCUCCGGCUACAGGAGCGCGGUUGACCGAGAGCGCCCGCUGCUGGCGCCUUGCACCCGCUGCCUCGUUCCGCUGGACGUCACUUCCCUGAGCCUGCGGUUACUGCGCAGGCGGGUGCCUGCAGGUGACUUGGCCAAGGAGUCACACUGCAGCAUGCAGAGUGUCUUCCUACGCACCCUUAUGCUUCCUCCCUCUCAUCACAGGCGUGAGACCUGCACUGGGUCUGGUGGGCUCCGCGUCUGCUCCUGGUCCCUUGAUCCUUCCCAGGCCCAAGAAAACGGAUGAGGUUUGGGAACUGGCUCACUCACUGCCUGGCUAUCAAAGAGGACCGUGACAUCUGUGCCAUUUACCAAGUAUGCAUCCCAUAUGCGAUACCAUCUAAUAGUUGCGGCAGUCUGGUGAGGGAUGUGAGCUGUGAGGAAACUGGGAGGGAAAACAAGAGUAUUUAAAUGGUUGCCCAAGGACUUGACAGCUAAUGAAUGGUACAGCAGUGGCUAAAGUGCUGUCUUCCAACUCCUAAUGCCAUACUCUUUCCAUCCGUGUAAUGAUAUUCAAGUGUUUGCCUAAACAUUUUUAAGGCAACAUAAGACUGUUACUCAAAUACAAAUUUUAUUUUAUUAUUAUUUGUAAUCAACUCUGCAAAUGUUCUAUACAGGGCUGCCACCAUAGUAAACAUACACCAUUUUAGUUAUUUAUUAUUAUUAUUUUUAAAAUUUUUGUCUUUUCAGGGCCGCACCCAUGGCACAUGGAGGUUUCCAGGCUAGAGGUCAAAUCAGAGCUACAGCUGCCAGCCUAUGCCACCCACAGCAACACAGGAUCCAAGUUGCAUCUGCAAUCUACACCACUGCUCGUGGCAACGCCAGAUCCUUGAUCCACCACUGAGUGAGGCCAGGUAUUGAACCCACAACCUCAUGGUUCCUAGUCGGAUUCAUUUCCGCUGCUCCACAAUGGAAACUCCAAACAUAGGCCAUUUUAUAUUCAUUUUUUUCCACGUAGCAUGAUAAUGUAAUGAUUUUUCUGUGUUGUGGCAUAGCCUUUAUAAUGAUUACUUUUCAUACAAUUGCAUUUAUUAGAAAAUAAUAAAUCUGACCAUUUCCCAUCCAUUUUCGGGGUGGGGUGGUACUGCUACUUCAAAACAUCUGGGAGUUCCCGUUGUGGCUCAGUGGUUAAGGAAUCCGACUAGGAACCAUGAGAUUGAAGGUUCGAUCCCUGGCCUUGCUCUGUGGGUUAAGGAUACUGCAUUGUUGUGAGCUGUAGUGUAGGUCGCAGACGUAGCUCGGAUCCUACAUUUUUGUGGCUCUGGUGUAGGCUAGGGGUCAAAUUGAAGCUGUAGCUGCCGGCCUACGCCAUAGCCACAAGCAAUGCCAUAUCCCAGCCGCGUCUGCGAUCUACAACACAGCUGAUGGUAACGCUGGAUCCUUAACCCACUGAGCGAGGCCAGGGAUCAAAUGCACAACCUCAUGGUUCCUGGUCAGAUUCGUUUCUGCUGUGCCACGACGGGAGCUCCUAAUCUUCGUUUUACAGAUAAGGAAGCUGAGAUGCAGAGAACACAGUUAGCAAAAGGCAAUGCUAGGUCUUCAUGUAACAGAGCUCUUCCAAUUACAGAGCUAUCAAUAGAGAAUUGCAUGUCUUCACCUGAUGAGGUUGCCGUGCCAGGAGUUGAAACACUAGCCUUGUGAAAUAAUGCUGACUUCUCACAUGGCCAGCCUCUCCAGCUUUCAAAAACUCCACCAGGUUCAAGAGAGCACCUCCAGCUGUCUUCUUCCAGGACCGUGAUACCUAAGCAGGGUGGGCUGAGAGGGGAGGGGCCAGGAGGGGGGGAGAGGAGUCAGAAUUCCCUUCCUUGGAUUCCAAGAACCCUGGGUGGGGGUGGGGGGGGCAUGUGUGUGUGCCUGGAUCUGGUAGGUGCUAGGCCAGCAAGGUGGGAGGGAAGGGGCUGGAGAGAUGGAGAAUCAUUGAUUAAAGCUGACAGUCUACUGACUGUCAGGAUUGGGCUUUCUCUUUCGGCUCAUUUUUCAGAGCAUUUCUCACCAUUCCAUUUAAUUCUGAUUACAAAUUAUCCAUUCCUCAUGCACAAAGUAUAAGAAUAAAGAAAAUUUAAACCCAGGCAAUGAAAACAGAUCAAGGAAGGGCAUUUCAACCCUCAUUUCAUUCUAAUUGUAGGAAGAAACAAACAGCAAUUUGACCCCCGUUUUACUUCCUAGUGGCUGAGUGGCCCCUUCACCUCAGGGAAAAGACCUGACCUGGAAACUAGGUGUGCCAAAGAACUUGAAAACCAACAGGUUCUAUGACAUGAAUAGUUUCAUUAAAAGUAUCCUCCAUAUUUACCUCAUGAGAGGCUUCCAGGAAGUUUCUCUUCCCUCCUUCAUCUGCUGCCUGGGAUGCAGAUGUGUUGACUGGAGCUCAGCAGUCAACUUGAACCAUGAGGCACACCCAAGGAGGGUGCUGCAUUGAGCUGCAAAGACCCCCAAGGACCCAUGGAGCUGUGCCACUGCCUGAACUGCUGGCCCCUGGACUUCUAUCCUGUGAGAGGGGAAUCACGGAGAAGGCCAAGUGCAACACCUUUAAGGGGCCAAUCACAGAAAGAGAGGCCCCCUCUACAGAGUAUAAGAACCCCAGCAUCUCAUGGCUGAUGGCACAAGAUUGCCCUGAAGGGUCCAUUCUGAUUCUCUGCUUUUCCAGUGCUUGCAUGUUGAAUCCGGAUUUGGCAGUAGCAGGAGCUCUUGAGAGGACCUGGUCGAGAGAGGCCUGGAAGCCCCUGGGGAGAGAGGAAAUCACACCUACAUUGUGACUGAUGAACUAGUGCAGACACCUUCCUGGAGAAAUGCUUCUCAGUCAAGGUGAAGGAGCCAUCUCUAAGUGUCCAAUAUGGAUCUGUUGUGGAAUGAUACUUUCAUAAAACACAAUUAAAAUGGAAAUUUUAAAAAGACUGGGCAUUCCUAUCAUGGCUCAGCAGUAGCAAACCCAACUAGUAUCCAUGAGGAUGCAGGUUCAAUCCCUAGCCUUGCACAGUGAGUUAAGGAUCUGGCAUUGCCGUGAGGUGCGGUGCAGGUUGCAGACUUGGCUUGGAUCUGGCAUUGGGGUGUGGCUCUAAAGAGCAAAAAAAAAAAGAGAAAUUAAAAGACAUUUUUUCUAUUCUUUUUCUUUAUUAUUUGAACAUACUCAUGUACAAUAUAUCGAGAUAUGUAAAAAAAUAUAUUGAGAUACAUAUAUAUGUAUACUCAAAUGUUACACUCUUUUUAACACAGUCACCUCAAUUACUUGGAUAAAUCUCACAGUUUUAAUUAUUAGAUUGGACAGACCUAAAAUCACUCUGUCGAACUGAAAUAAAAUUUCUCAUCACAGCUGCUCUCAGGUUUUGUCCUUGCCUCCUCAAGGACUGGGGACACUCCACAGACCAGCACUGGGUAGCAUGGACUUUUAACUCAGACCCAAAAGGAAUAUUGUGUGCAUGAUACAUAUAUUAAUAGAAGUGUUUAGUCUGGGAAGUUCCCGUCGUGGCGCAGAGGAAAUGAAUCUGACUAGAAAUCAUGAGGUUUUGGGUUUGCUCCCUGGCCUCACCUAGCGGAUCAAGGAUCGGGCAUUGCCAUGAGCUGUGGUGUAGGUCACAGAUGUGGCUCGGACCUGGUGUUGCUGUAGCUAUGAUAUAGGCCAGCAGCUACAGCUCUGAUUAGACCCCUAGAAUGGGAACCUCCAUAUGCUGCAGGUGUGGCACUAAAAACCAAAAGGAAAAAAAAAAAAA
RNAcentral lists this long non-coding RNA (3979 nucleotides) under Sus scrofa (pig). RNAcentral describes it as "lncRNA (ENSSSCG00030052719.1)". Lineage: Eukaryota; Metazoa; Chordata; Mammalia; Artiodactyla; Suidae. The record is from RNAcentral.